UACGGAGGGUGCAAGCGUUAUCCGGAUUCACUGGGUUUAAAGGGUGCGUAGGCGGACAGGUAAGUCAGUGGUGAAAUCUCUGGGCUUAACCCAGAAACUGCCGUUGAUACUAUUUGUCUUGAAUAUCCUGGAGGUAGGCGGAAUAUGUCAUGUAGCGGUGAAAUGCUUAGAUAUGACAUAGAACACCGAUAGCGAAGGCAGCUUACUACGAUGAUUGACGCUGAGGCACGAAAGCGUGGGGAGCAAACAGG
Molecule: ribosomal RNA, 251 nt
Filed under: uncultured bacterium
Lineage: Bacteria
Description: partial 16S ribosomal RNA
Rfam family: Bacterial small subunit ribosomal RNA
Source: RNAcentral